Molecule: ribosomal RNA, 408 nt
Filed under: uncultured bacterium
Lineage: Bacteria
Description: partial 16S ribosomal RNA
Rfam family: Bacterial small subunit ribosomal RNA
Source: RNAcentral
GACGAACGCUGGCGGCGUGCUUAACACAUGCAAGUCGAACGAAGUGGCGAAAGGGUUAGUAACGCGUAAUCAAGCUGCCCUUCAGAGGCGGACGCCAGUUGGAAACGACUGCUAAUACCGCCUGCUGCAGUAGGUGAUUUCGUCGGAUUAGCUAGUUGCGGGGGUAAAGGCCCACAAAGGCGAUGAUCAGUAGCCGGUGUGAGAGGAUGAACAGGCACAUGGGGACUGAGACACGGUCCAGACUCCUACGGGAGGCAGCAGUGGGGAAUAUUGGACAAUGGGCGAAAGCCUGAUCCAGCCAUGCCGCGUGUGUGAAGAAGGUCUUCGGAUUGUAAAGCACUUUAAGUUGGGAGGCGUUACCAACAGAAUAAGCACCGGCUAACUUCGUGCCAGCAGCCGCGGUAAUAC